This 329-nucleotide ribosomal RNA is filed under the name uncultured eukaryote. Its description in RNAcentral is "partial 18S ribosomal RNA". It matches the Rfam family "Eukaryotic small subunit ribosomal RNA", at positions 1470 to 1796 of the family's 1831-position model. The record is from RNAcentral.
CCCUUAGAUGUUCUGGGCCGCACGCGCGCUACACUGAUGCAUUCAACGAGUCUAAAACCUGCUCUGAUAGGGGUGGGUAAUCUUUUGAAUGUGCAUCGUGAUUGGGAUAGAUGAUUGCAAUUUUUCAUCUUCAACGAGGAAUGCCUAGUAAACGCAAGUCAUCAGCUUGCAUUGAUUACGUCCCUGCCCUUUGUACACACCGCCCGUCGCUCCUACCGAUUGAAUGAUCCGAUGAAUAUCAUGGAUUGAGGAUGCAAGCAGGUUCGCCUGUAUUCAUCUUCGAGAAGUGAAGUAAAUCUUAUCAUUUAGAGGAAGGAGAAGUCGUAACA